Molecule: ribosomal RNA, 492 nt
Filed under: uncultured bacterium
Lineage: Bacteria
Description: partial 16S ribosomal RNA
Rfam family: Bacterial small subunit ribosomal RNA
Source: RNAcentral
AGUGAACGCUGGCGGUAGGCCUAACACAUGCAAGUCGAACGGCAGCACAGUAAGAGCUUGCUCUUACGGGUGGCGAGUGGCGGACGGGUGAGGAAUACAUCGGAAUCUACUUUUUCGUGGGGGAUAACGUAGGGAAACUUACGCUAAUACCGCAUACGACCUACGGGGGAAAGCAGGGAAUCUUCGGACCUUGCGCGAUUGAAUGAGCCGAUGUCGGAUUAGCUAGUUGGCGGGGUAAAGGCCCACCAAGGCGACGAUCCGUAGCUGGUCUGAGAGGAUGAUCAGCCACACUGGAACUGAGACACGGUCCAGACUCCUACGGGAGGCAGCAGUGGGGAAUAUUGGACAAAGGGCGCAAGCCUGAUCCAGCCAUACCGCGUGGGUGAAGAAGGCCUUCGGGUUGUAAAGCCCUUUUGUUGGGAAAGAAAAGCAGCAGGUUAAUACCCCGCUGUUCUGACGGUACCCAAAGAAUAAGCACCGGCUAACUUCGUG